This 71-nucleotide transfer RNA is filed under the name Stegodyphus mimosarum. It matches the Rfam family "tRNA". From Rfam's summary of the family: Transfer RNA (tRNA) molecules are approximately 80 nucleotides in length. Their secondary structure includes four short double-helical elements and three loops (D, anti-codon, and T loops). The record is from Rfam by way of RNAcentral. Lineage: Eukaryota; Metazoa; Arthropoda; Arachnida; Araneae; Eresidae.
GCCUUCAUAGCGUAACGGUAGCACACUCGGCGGGUAUUCGAGAGAUCCAGGUUCAAGUCCCGACGAGGGCA